GAUGAAGAACGUAGCGAAAUGCGAUAAGUAAUGCGAAUUGCAGAAUUUCCGUGAGUCAUCGAAUCUUUGAACGCACAUUGCGCCCGUCAGUAUUCUGACGGACAUGCCUGUCCGAGCGUCAUUUCAACCCUCAAGCACUGCUUGGCGUUGGCGGAUUGCGUGCCCUCGCGGCGCUGCAACCGCCCAAAUACAGUGGCGGUCCCGCUGCGGCUCCCUUUGCGUAGUAACUCACCUCGCACUGGACCGGGCGGCGGCCUGCCGUAAAACCCCAACUCACGAAAUGUUGACCUCGGAUCAGGUAGGAAUACCCGCUGAACUUAAGCAUAUCAAUAAGCGGAGGA
RNAcentral lists this unclassified non-coding RNA (341 nucleotides) under soil metagenome. Its description in RNAcentral is "partial contains 5.8S ribosomal RNA, internal transcribed spacer 2, and large subunit ribosomal RNA". The stretch from base 1 to 121 matches the Rfam family "5.8S ribosomal RNA", at positions 35 to 154 of the family's 154-position model. The record is from RNAcentral.